UGGGGAAUCUUGCACAAUGGGGCGCAAGCCUGAUGCAGCGACGCCGCGUGUGGGAUGAAGGGGCUACGCCUCGUAAACCACUGUAGCCCGGGACGAAAAACGCCUUAGAGGCGUUAGACGGUACCGGGAAAGUAAGGGUCGGCUAACUACGAGCCAGCAGCCGCGGUAAUACGUAGGACCCAAGCGUUGUCCGGAUUUACUGGGUGUAAAGGGUGCGCAGGCGGAUGGGUAAGUCAGGGGUGAAAGUCUGCAGCUUAACUGUAGAAUUGCCUUUGAUACUGCUCAUCUUGAGUGUGGGAGAGGUUGCUGGAAUUCCAGGUGUAGCAGUGAAAUGCGUAGAUAUCUGGAAGAACACCAGUGGCGAAGGCGGUCAACUGGCCCAUAACUGACGCUCAUGCACGAAAGCGUGGGGAGCAAACA
RNAcentral lists this ribosomal RNA (420 nucleotides) under uncultured bacterium. Its description in RNAcentral is "bacterial SSU rRNA". It matches the Rfam family "Bacterial small subunit ribosomal RNA", at positions 355 to 774 of the family's 1533-position model. The record is from RNAcentral.